GGCUAGCGUGGGGCCAGCGGCGGGGGUAAGAAAGGGGGUGCAAGGGUUAAGCGGAUUUACUUGGCGUAAAGCGUGUGUAGGUGGUUGGGAAAGUCAAUUGUGAAAGCCCCGGGCUUAACUCGGGAACUGCUUGUGAUACUGUCUGACUAGAAUUCGGUAGAGGGAGGCGGAACUCCAGGUGUAGCGGUGAAAUGCGUAGAUAUCUGGAAGAACACCAAUGGCGAAGGCAACCUCCUGGGCCUGAAUUGACACUGAGACACGAAAGCGUGGGGAUCAAACAGGAUUAGAUACCCAGUAGUC
RNAcentral lists this ribosomal RNA (300 nucleotides) under uncultured Lactobacillus sp. RNAcentral describes it as "bacterial SSU rRNA". It matches the Rfam family "Bacterial small subunit ribosomal RNA", at positions 495 to 795 of the family's 1533-position model. The record is from RNAcentral. Lineage: Bacteria; Bacillati; Bacillota; Bacilli; Lactobacillales; Lactobacillaceae.